AGAAGAAGCUGUUUUAACUCUGGUUUACAGACCCAGAAACCAGGACCAGCUACGGCAUUUGCAUGACCCAGAGUAAAAUGAAGAAUGUGAAGUUCUGUGUUCAAAAUGUACAAAGAAUGUCAAGAGGAUGACGGCCGAGCAUUAAACUAUGCACAUGUGACUAUUGCUACACAGGGCCCAGGAAGCAGGCUCUGGAGUGAACAAAGGACCAGAAAAGUUAAGUAACUUUUUCAAGAUUGCACAGCAAAUGUUGGAGCUAAAAAUUCAAGCCGAGCCUUUAAAAUGGUGUGGCUUCCCUUACCUAUUGUAAGCUCCCUGCAUUCCAGGGCUCUGACUUGAUCACCACUGAUUGCCCAGCUCACAUUGGCACUCAUCACAUCAUUCCAUAUUUGGGGGGAAUGAAUGAAUAGGUCAUUCACUCAAAGAGGUGCACGCCCUGUAAAGCC
This 446-nucleotide long non-coding RNA is filed under the name Marmota monax (woodchuck). The record is from RNAcentral. Lineage: Eukaryota; Metazoa; Chordata; Mammalia; Rodentia; Sciuridae.